RNAcentral lists this long non-coding RNA (900 nucleotides) under Cicer arietinum (chickpea). RNAcentral's name for it is "long non-coding RNA (CARI_LNC001942)". Lineage: Eukaryota; Viridiplantae; Streptophyta; Magnoliopsida; Fabales; Fabaceae. The record is from RNAcentral.
AUCAUCAUUUUAUAAAUCUGACUCAAUUUGGAAUUUAUAUUUACAUAGGUAUUUUCAUUACAUUACAACUAAAAUAAAAUAAAAACAAAAAUAAAAAAAACAAAAAAAAUUAAAUUUGCAUUCUUCCAUUAUUCUUCUAUGCAGGAGUGCCUCUUCCUUUCCUUUUCAAGCUCAUUUUUUUUUACUCGUAAUGCACUCAAUCAAAAAGGGAUCACCUUUUUUUUCUAAUUAUCCAAUGUUGCUUGAGGUUUGCAACAAAGUAAUAGAAAAACAUGAUCUUAAUUAUCUCUUGGACCUAAAGGCUCAUCUUGUAGCCUAUAAAUUGAGAAUAAAAAAAUUUUACAGGCAGUUUUGUUUUCCAAAAAAAAAAUUAAAAUAUAGAAAUUUUUUUCUUUCUUUGUUUCUUAAUAAAGAGAAGAAGUGUUAUAAAAAUAGAGAAGAGAAGAUAAAGAAAUUCAAAAAUCUACUCUCCUCCUUCAUCAAAUAAAAUCAGAAUCAUAAACAAACUCAAAUUCAUUUCAACAACAUAACGAAAAUCAAAUAAAAAAGAUAAAAUAGAGAAGAGAACCGUUACGCCACACACCACCGCGAGGGCUGCUUUUACGCCGCACCGCCGACACGUGACUCCUCCCAUACCACGAACCACCAUCACCUUCAUGACCCCUCAUUCGCAUGCAAAUCUGGCAGGCUACCGCUCCAUCCACGACUACAUCUUGCUGAUUUUUUUUUUCUUCCUCACUUUCUCUUUCUUUGCUUCACUUCAUUUGAAAACCGUAUUUCUCUCUCUGCAUAGCACAACCACAUCAUGUCAUUCAUAUUGAUUCCUUUAGGAUUUUCUUUCUCCAUUUUGGGUUUUGGGUUUGUUAUGUUUUUUUAGUUGAAUGCUCAACUCAAGUCCAC